RNAcentral lists this unclassified non-coding RNA (376 nucleotides) under Hevea brasiliensis (rubber tree). The record is from RNAcentral. Lineage: Eukaryota; Viridiplantae; Streptophyta; Magnoliopsida; Malpighiales; Euphorbiaceae.
CCAGGAAGCUAACUACAAACAGAAAGCCGAUCAUCCAAGAUAAUGAUGGAUUUUUGUGAUAAUCGCUGUCUUCUGCUGAUUGUUUGGCAAUAGNNNNAUUCCAAAGAGGUAACUCCCAAAGCCACCGCUAAAGGCGAUGCCAGAGGAGGCGACAACACAGGUCUGGAUGACGGUAUUCUCUUGCCUGGUGAAGGGUUGGCUCAAAGGACCAAAUUUUCCGAGAAAAGUAGUCCAAAUCUUGAGGAAAAAGAAGCCCAAANNNNNNNAGCCCAAAAGACCAGCAGAUACAUUGAGUGAAGGUAUGAUCCCAGUUGUGAGAUUAAGCUUCAUUACUAUGAAGCUAAAUAAUAUGCUCAACACAAAGCUCACAACGAAG